GCUUAUUCACCUUAAGAAGAGGUUUAUAACUGUUUGCGUCGAGGACUAUCAAAAGCGUGAUAGCUGAUUUGAAUAGAGGAAAGUAAACGGCAAGAAAUAAACAAAGUUGGAACCAAUACAGCCAAUGCCAAAUAACCCAUGUACAAACCAGGAGUAAAAAAUUGAUAUUCGGUAAACAGUCCCGUCGCACCAUUGUCGGUGACAGGGUGCUUCCUUGUUUGGUGCAUAGCAAGCGUGGUUUGUGAUCCCUCAUUUUGAUCAGGUAAAGAAGCCAAUUGGCCGUGUUGAAGAGCACUCUUCCCUGAGUUGAGACCACCUAGCGUUUGAAUUACAAAUUCAGCAUUGGCCUCUUCUUCGUUAGCAUCAACCUUAAAUCCUUCAAAAUCUGAGUUAUUCAAAGGAGAAGAGGCUAUAAUUACAUUCCACUGAGCAUCUUGUUCCAAGGUAGAUUGUAAGUUGUAGAACAUUUCAUCCAAUUCCAUUAAUUGUGCACUUCUAUGAUAACUUUCAUUUGACAGUUCAUUCAUGUAAACAACAGUUAUGCGAUCAUUUUGAAGAGGAGGAAAAGCAUUAAAGGAUCCACCCAAGUAAACUACCUCAACGUCGCAGUUUUGCUUUGCCGAAUGCACCAACUCUUGUGAGUCCAAAGACUCCUUGGAAUAAGGAAGAAGUAAGCUAUAGGGUGAUUGCAAAGAAACACGCUUUAAAUGUUUAAAAGCUCCCAACUGAAAAUCAUUAACCUCAAGGCCUGGUUGAUGUAUAAUUAAGGUAGCUGUAUUGCAUGUCGAAAGUGCCUCAAUUGCGGCGUCAAAAAACAUCAUAGGGCAAGUGGAUAUUGAAGAAUCAUCGGAUGAUUUGGGGAGUUUGCUGUUUUUAGUUAGAUUAAAUA
Schizosaccharomyces pombe (fission yeast) is the source of this 889-nucleotide non-coding RNA. The record is from the annotation of a GenBank genome assembly. NCBI's taxonomy places the organism in Eukaryota, Fungi, Ascomycota, Schizosaccharomycetes, Schizosaccharomycetales, Schizosaccharomycetaceae.